RNAcentral lists this transfer RNA (66 nucleotides) under Xenos vesparum. RNAcentral's name for it is "tRNA-Ser". The record is from RNAcentral. Lineage: Eukaryota; Metazoa; Arthropoda; Insecta; Strepsiptera; Xenidae.
AGUUAAUGAACUUGAUAAGUAUAUGUUUUGAAAACAUAAAAUAUAAGUUUACUCUUAUAUUAACUA